GACGAACGCUGGCGGCGUGCUUAACACAUGCAAGUCGAACGGUGAAGCCUUCGGGUGGAUCAGUGGCGAACGGGUGAGUAACACGUGAGCAAUCUGCCCUUGACUCUGGGAUAACUUCGGGAAACCGGAGCUAAUACCGGAUAUGACAUCUGGCCGCAUGGUCUGGGUGUGGAAAGAUUUAUCGGUCAAGGAUGAGCUCGCGGCCUAUCAGCUUGUUGGGGGGUAAUGGCCCACCAAGGCGACGACGGGUAGCCGGCCUGAGAGGGCGACCGGCCACACUGGGACUGAGACACGGCCCAGACUCCUACGGGAGGCAGCAGUGGGGAAUAUUGCGCAAUGGGCGGAAGCCUGACGCAGCGACGCCGCGUGAGGGAUGAAGGCCUCGGUCGUAACC
Molecule: ribosomal RNA, 394 nt
Filed under: uncultured bacterium
Lineage: Bacteria
Description: bacterial SSU rRNA
Rfam family: Bacterial small subunit ribosomal RNA
Source: RNAcentral